UGAGGAAUAUUGCGCAAUGGGGGCGACCCUGACGCAGCAACGCCGCGUGAGUGAGGAAGGUUUUCGGACCGUAAAGCUCUGUCGAGCGGGAAGAAAUGCAUGGUGGCUAAUAUCCAUCAUGCUUGACGGUACCGCUAAAGGAAGCACCGGCUAACUCCGUGCCAGCAGCCGCGGUAAUACGGGGGUGCGAGCGUUGUUCGGAAUUAUUGGGCGUAAAGAGCGUGUAGGCGGCCGAAUAAGUCAGAUGUGAAAUCCCUGGGCUUAACCCAGGACGUGCAUUUGAAACUAUUCGGCUGGAGUAGGGGAGAGGAAAGUGGAAUUCCUGGUGUAGAGGUGAAAUUCGUAGAUAUCAGGAGGAACACCGGUGGCGAAGGCGACUUUCUGGCCCUAUACUGACGCUGAGACGCGAGAGCGUGGGUAGCAAACAG
This 428-nucleotide ribosomal RNA is filed under the name uncultured bacterium. RNAcentral describes it as "bacterial SSU rRNA". It matches the Rfam family "Bacterial small subunit ribosomal RNA", at positions 355 to 775 of the family's 1533-position model. The record is from RNAcentral.